ACACAUCUUUGUUUUUUUGUUUUGUUUUUUUGGACUGGGCUGGACCCAGCCAGCCCGGCCCGGGUCACUGGCCCAAGCCAGUGACCCGGCUGGGCAAAAUGUGGAGCACGCGUGAAGUGAUUUCACGCGUGCAUUCACUGUGCGAAGGUAGUACAGUGUUCUUUGAUCAUUUAAUUUCAAAGAACGCAAAGGGAUGAAGAGCUGGCGUACCUGCUUCUAGAGUGGCGAAGAUGGCUGCAACGCUGGUGGUGACUUUCGCCUGCUUGAUACCUUUACUUCUGCCUUCCCUUUUUGCUCCUGUUUCCACGGUCUGCUUUCGUUUUCCAGCAGAUUUUGAGAUAAUGAAGGAACCGAGAACGAAGGUGCCGGCUUCUGUGGAUACUGAUUUUUGGGUCGUUUUCUGCAGGGAUGAAAGCAAUGGCAGAACCCAUUAUCCUCUCCGUGUUGUUCCUCUGCUUUUCUUUUGUUUCAAUUCGUGCUCUGCCUUCCCCUGUUUUCUGGUUUUUUUCUCUGGGUUUUGCUCCAGUUCUCUCCUCUGGUUCUUUUUUUUCCCCCCUGGUUCUGUUUUUUUCGUCUAGGUUUAGCUUGAGUUUUUCCUCGGUUUCUCCUUCAAACCCCCCUGCUUUUCUUCCUCUGUUUUCUGGGUUUUUCUUCUCUGGUUUUUCGUUUCCCCCCCCCCCCCCCUCUCGCUCUGGGUUUUUCUUCCCCUUUUAUAGAGACCCAGCAGCUUGCCUCUAACCAGUCCUGCCUUUGCAGGACUGUUAUCUUCCACGAACGAGAUCGUGGGCAAGAGACGUGGUCCACGAUUGGAUCUGUUGCAGAUUUUCAGGUCUCCGGUUGAAUCGGGAUGAAGAAGAUCACACGACUGUUCCACCAGCAAUGGCGACGUUUCGGCUAAAAGACACAUUUUCAUUUUGACCCCUGCUUCUUUGGAAAUUCGGCAAUUGGAUCUCUAAGCAAUUAAAAAUUUAUUUUAAUUUUGCCCUUUUGGAUUAAUUUCAAUUAAAUACCUAAAUUAUAACACUGUUUACAAAACAGUCCUUAAUUCCCGGAUUGUUCAAUUUGGCCUUUAAUUAAAUCUUUAACUUUUAAUUCUUUCAAAAUUGAUCAAUUAACUCUCAAAUUUUAUAAUUACAUCCCCAAACUUCAAAUUUUGUGUUGUCUUAACCCCAUUGUCAACUAUAUUUAAUUUUUAUUAUUUUGUUCAAAAAUUGGGUUAAGACAGUUGCCUUCUCUUUAUAAUAUUUACAAUACAAAGACAUUGAAAAAUUUCAUUUUCUUGAGCUUUGUGUGGUAAAUUUAUAAAAAAAAAAUGUAGACAAAUUUUUUUUUGUUUUUGUUUUUUUAAGUCUUGAAAACUUCGAAAACAUAUGACUUUUACAGAGAGAACAGGUCAUUUGGAAGACAGCCCAUUUUUGAUUUUUUUGUUUUUUUUUUUGAAAUGAAUCAAAUUGUUUUGGGCAUCCAGCCCGAUGAUAAAAGAAACGCGAAGAAUUUCGCGAGUGGUCUAAUUGUUCCAGGCGACCUGCCCGAUAAAGAAUAAAACGCGAAAAUGGUUUCGCAAGUGGUCUAAUUGUUCCAGGCGACCUGCCCGAUGAUUGAAAAAUACGAGGAUUUUUCAUGAUGAUCACAUUGUAAUGGGUUACCUGCCCAGAUGGUUACAUUGUAAUGAGUUACCUGCCCAGUGAACAAAUACGAGGAUUUUUCAGGAUGGUACAUUGUAAUGGGUUACCAGCCCAGAUGGUCACAUUGUAAUGGGUUACCUGCCCAGUGAAAAAAUACGAUGAUUUUUUCAAAAGAAGACGUGAUAGGGCUCGAAGGCGCAUUGUUCAAUAGAUGGAAGCUCGAAGGUAAUGAGGGCUCGGAGGCGCGCUCAAAAGGAAAUGAGAGCUCGAGGGCGCACUCAAAAGGAGGUAGGGUUAGGAAAGGCAUUACCUUUAAUGGCCGAGGACUCGAAGGCGCACUCGAAAAGAAAUGAGGUGAGGGCUCAAAGGCGCACUCAAAAGGAGGUAGGAUAGGAAACACACUACCUUUGAUGGUCGAGGGCUCGAAGGCGCGCUCGAAAAGAAAUGAGGUGAGGGCUCGAAGGCGCCCUCAAAAGGAGGUAGGAUAGAAAAUGCACUACCUUUGAUGGUCGAGGGCUCGAAGGCACACUCGAAAGGAGGUAGGGUAGGAAACACACUACUUUUGAUGGUCGAGGGCUCGAAGGCGCACUCGAAAAGAAAUGAGGUGAGGGCUCGAAGGCGCACUCAAAAGGAGGUAGGAUAGGAAAUGCACUACCUUUGAUUGUCGAGGGCUCAAAGGCGCACUCGAAAGGAGGUAAGGUAGGAAACGCACUACCUUUGAUGGUCGAGGGCUCGAAGGCGCACUCGAAAAAAAAAAUGAGAUGAGAGCUCGAAGGCGCACUCAAAAGAAGGUAGGGUAAGAAACGCACUACCUUGGGAAUGGAAAAUGAAAGGUGGUGGAAAAAUACAGAGAUUUUUCAGGUGGCCUAAUUCUCAUUGGCGGCCUGCCCAGGUUGAAAAAUUCUCAAAAGUGAAAAAUUUUCAAAAGCAAUUUCAAUGUUCGCCAUUUCAAGUUGGCCUUCCACUUGAUGAAUUUCGUUAGAAUUUUCUCUUAUGAAAUUUGCAAAACUUAUUGUACAAUGUCUCAAAGUUUAAAUGAUAUGCAUGCAUCUUUACCUGAUUUGAAAUAUAGGCCCCCCAUUUCUUCGUAGUCUUCUUGUUGCUUGGUUGGUGAGAUCUUGUCAUCUUUAUCGUUUGGCUUUCUAGCCCACUCGAGUUAGCCCAUAUAAGUCUUUUUCCAGAUUUGUUUGCACAACUCAAGCUUUGUGGUGCCCAUCGUGACCCACUUGCUUGCUAAAGAUUUUCUGACUCGUCAAAUAAUUUGAGAGGAUCAUUCAUUACCCCUCGUCUCACUGCUAAAAACAUUCGGUGUCACUAGUUGAAAGGAUCAAUCUGUCUUUUAUAAACCAAAAUGCCCCCUUGUCUUGUUGAAGGAAAUUAACAUCUCCUUUUCUAGAAUUUUUCCUUCUAAACACAAUGUUGCCCCCUUGUAUUGGUCAUUGCCCCUAAGUGUGCUCUGUCAGCGACUUAGACAAAUAAUGGUUUUAAGAGGUCAUUCUUUCAUUUCUCUCCUUUUCAGUUUGGUGAAGGAAUAUGGGUCUAGAAUGAAUCUUGAAAUCUUGAUCUUGCAUUUUGAAAACAAAAAUUAUUUCGAUGUGAGUCUAAAACAAUUUGCUUUUGAAAUCUUGCAACUCCUUGGUUAUUUUCUUUCUUGGAAAAGAGAUUAUUUGCUCUUGUGUUUGGCAAUGAGGUCUUCGGUAAAAAUACGUCAUGAGAUGACCUUUUGUUUUUAUAGGUUUUCAAAGUGGAGGGCUCGAGAAAAAGCUCGAGGUUUUGUAUGAGAAAAACUUGUCUCUUUUUUAACACUCAUUUUUAUCAGCAUGAAUAAUAAUGAGUAGUUUGUUCUUGAUAUCAUGAGUUUUAUGAAAAGUAUUCUUUGCAUUUUGAGAGCAUUGUUUAUUGUUCUAGGUUGCUUGCUUGCUUGAUUAGAAAGGACUUCUACAGGCACGUAACGUAGGCUGUGGUUUUUGGCUAUGAAAAAAAUGAUUCAUAAGGCUCAAAGAGUGUUUCAGGGUUUCAAAGAUUGAGGAUCACUAUCAACAGUUUAAUUCUUGAUGUCAUUCAUAUUUUCUUUUGCCGCUCUUUUUUGAUUUGCUGCUUUUUAUUUUUUUUAUUGCUUUGCUAGGACAUACUCAAUUUAUCUUGGAUGUCACUUUUUGUAGUCAUUUGAGCAUGCCCCCUAGCAUUUGAGUUUCUUGAGCUCUUAUGCCUUUUUGGCUUUCUCACGGCCUUUUCUCUUUUCUCAAUGAAAUUUUCUCUUGCCCCCUAGUGUGGAGUGUGAUCCUAAUCGGGAUUUAUUUCAUGAAAUAAAAAUUAUUCAGGCUAAAAAAGAGAUCGCAAGGGAUGUACUUAUUUCAGAAUGUGAAAGGAAUAACAAAGAUGACAUUUCCUCAUUUCAAGCACAAGUAGUUAAGAUCAAUAAACUGUGACCUCAUCCAGUAUGAUGGUUUGGUCUUUGCAAAGAUGCAUUUCAUGAAUCAUGAGCAACGAGUUCACUACAUACCAUUAUUCAUACAUUUAAAAACUCAUGAUUCAAAAGUCAUAGGGUAAGGGUGUUUAUUCACUUCUUUUUUUUUCUUUUUUUUUGGUUUAUAAUUUAGUCACCUUAAUGACAGAGUUGCUUGAUUCACUUGUCAUUCUACAAGUAGAAUGUCAAAAUAUCAUUUUUGAAUAAACCUCAAAUUAUUUUUUGAAAUCAAAAUGCCAGAUCAAUUUUUCAAAACUCCAAUAGGGGAACUAAUUUUGGUAAAAGAGAUGAAUUGCGUCUAUGAGACUACACGAGGCUUUAAAAGUGUAUUCGUGAGUUCUUAUAAGAAAACUCUCUUAAGAAGAUGAAUAAUGUUUGGUCGUAAACACAAUUGAAUGACAAACUCAUUAUUUCAUUGAAACUUUAGAAAAGAAGUUCAAUAACAAAGAACUUAUGCCAACAUCUUGGGCUAUGAAAAUUGGCUUGGUAACACAUAAAGGGGCUAAACAUUUAGCAAUCAUUGAUUGGAAUUUCUGGAAUCUUUCAAUCAUUCAUUCUCCUCAACAAGGGCAUCUUUUCAACAAUCAAUUGAAGUCAUAUGUAGAUCAUUCUCGACCUAAUAUCACCAUAGCUUUCUCUUCAAGAUAGUUGAUUUCUGGGAGUCGGCGUGAAGAAAUUAGCUAUAAGAACCAUAAAAGUCUUGGCCACCCCCUUCAGUGAACCCGUUCUUCUCAGUCGGGUUAGCAAUCUUACCUAACCCAAUGGCUUGUUCAAUCCUUUCAACUAUAACAACCAGGUCAGUGAAAUGUUGUGCAGAGCUUCUAACCAAGUAUUCAAAGUACGGAGCUUUAAAGCUGUUGGAAAAUAAACUGAUCAUCUCUUUUUCCAACAUAGGAGGGUUAACUUGUAUAGCUACCUCCCUCCAUCUUUGAGCGUAUUCCCUUAUGGACUCCUUGUUGUCCUUCUCCAUAGCUUGUAAGUUUAACCGAUCAGGGCCCACGUCUAUAUUAAACUUAUAUUGCCUCCUGAAGGCAUCAACUAAAUCCUUCCAUUUUUUAACCUUGGUAUUGUCCAACCGCAUAUACCAAGUGAGGGCAACAUCACUUAAGCUGUCUUGAAAGAAAUGAAUCAGCAGUUUCUCAUCAUCAACCACCUCAGCCAUUUUGUUGCAGUAUGCUUUGAGAUGAGUUAUAGGGCAUUGAGUUCCCGUAUAUUUGAUAAAUUUUGGCACUCUAAACUUUUUGAGAAUGACAACGUUAGGCACCAAACACAUCUCAGCAGCCUUUAUAGGAUCAUGUAGGCGAAUUCCCUCAAAUGCCCUCAUCCUUUGCUCUAGGGCAAUGAAUUUGUUCAGAUCAUCUUCUUUUACCAUCUUGCCUUUUUUAGAUUCCUUCUCGUUUGCUCCCGGAUUCUGUGGAGUGAAGGGAUUUACGAGCAUAGGUUCAGGCUGAGCUAUAUGUAUUGCUUUUUCGAAUUUGUCUCUCAAGGCCUGUUCGAGUAGACUAGUAAGCCUUGCGACUUCUUCUUUAAUAUUGUCCACCUCUUUUUUGUGUUGGGCUUUCAACUGGGCUCUUUCUUCGUUUUCCAUUUGUCUUUUUCUCAAAUGAUUGUUAUAGGUAGGUUUCAAUAGGGAACCUAUAAUUCAACCUGGGAAUGUAAAUCAUGCAAUUUAUGCAAAAAUGUUGAUUCAAUAAAAAAUGCGUAUGAAAUGCGGACUCGCCCUUCACGGGGUGACAAACUAAUAGGAAGAUCCUAAUUGUUGAGUGCAUCAAGGGGUUGGUCAUUAUCUAGUUUCAAAGGGUUUCUCGCAUGCUCAGUGAUCGUCCUUGAAAGGUCGAUAUGAGGCUUACAAGUAGUGUGAAAAUAGAGGCCCUGACUAAUAUCAGUUUGGCAUAUUAACCACUUCCAAGUAAACAAUCAAGCGAGAGCUGGAUGGUUUCACGAGUCUUACCCAAGCUAAAGCCGUUGGGGUACCGUUACUUCCCCACAUAUCCUAGAUUUUCAGGUGUGUGCUCUUAACGUGAUGCAUGACAAUAUAAACAUGGAUGCAUGCUAAAGCAAUAAAUGCAGGAAAAAUAAACAAAUAAACACAACAAACAAACAUUAUAGCAAUUGACAAACAAAAGGCAAAGCUUAGUCCAUUAGUCCCAAUGGAGUCGCCAUUCUGUCGCACCCGACAUCGCGGCGGCCUUAAAAAUAAUAUGGUGGAAUAGAAUGGAUUUCUGGCAUCCUGUUAUUUAAUGGGGAACAGUUUUGUUUAAGGAGUGGCCACCUAGUAUUAUGGUCACUAGGAACCCUAACUGGUCAACAGAGAUUCUAUGGUACGGGACUGGUUAUGCAAAAGAAAAGAUAUUAUCACCCUUUAAACGUCCUGCCUGAGGCAGGCUGCAUUGUUGGUUUUGUCAUAAAUUGCUAACAUUUUGUCGGUUUAUGCUAUGAUGGUUUGCGUGUAAUAUUCAUGACUUUGACGCCAGUGAAUAUUUAACUACGAAUAUUUCCAACUCUGGCGUUGGUAAAUAUUACGCAGCUAUAAAAAAAAUAAAUCUAAAUCAGUAUUUUUUAUUCCUGACUCUGGCGUCAGUGAAUAAACAAAUCAAAUAAAUUUAUUUUUUACGCAUACACAUUUUUUAUGUAACUAAAUAAAAGUAAAAUACAAUAAAAUAAAAUAAAUUUACAUCAGUAUCUUUAUUCCUGACUCUGGCGUCAGUGAAUAAACCAAUAAAUUUACUUUAUUUUAUUUUAUUUUUGCAUGCAUAUUUUUUAUUUUUAUGUAAUUUAAAUAAAAUACAAUGAAAUAAAUUUGAAUCAAUAUUUUUAUUCUGACUCUGACAUCAAUGAAUAAAAACAAUAAAUUCAUAUUUAUUUUUUAUUUAUACAUACACACAUCUUUGUUUUUUUGUUUUGUUUUUUUGGACUGGGCUGGACCCAGCCAGCCCGGCCCGGGUCACUGGCCCAAGCCAGUGACCCGGCUGGGCAAAAUGUGGAGCACGCGUGAAGUGAUUUCACGCGUGCAUUCACUGUGCGAAGGUAAUUAAAUUACCUUCGCACUGUGUUCUUUGAUCAUUUAAUUUCAAAGAACGCAAAGGGAUGAAGAGCUGGCGUACUGCUUCUGGAGUGGCGAAGAUGGCUGCAACGCUGGUGGUGACUUUCGCCUGCUUGAUACCUUUACUUCUGCCUUCCCUUUUUGCUCCUGUGCCCACGGUCUGCUUUCGUUUUCCAGCAGAUUUUGAGAUAAUGAAGGAACCGAGAACGAAGGUGCCGGCUUCUGUGGAUACUGAUUUUUGGGUCGUUUUCUGCAGGGAUGAAAGCAAUGGCAGAACCAAUUAUCCUCUCCGUGUUGUUCCUCUGCUUUUCUUUUGUUUCAAUUCGUGCUCUGCCUUCCCCUGUUUUCUGGUUUUUUUCUCUGGGUUUUGCUCCAGUUCUCUCCUCUGGUUCUGUUUUUUCCCCCCCUGGUUCUGUUUUUUUCGUCUAGGUUUAGCUUGAGUUUUUCCUCGGUUUCUCCUUCAAACCCCCCCUGCUUUUCUUCCUCUGUUUUCUGGGUUUUUCUUCUCUGGUUUUUCGUUCCCCCCCCCCCCCCCUCUCGCUCUGGGUUUUUCUUCCCCUUUUAUAGAGACCCAGCAGCUUGCCUCUAACCAGUCCUGCCUUUGCAGGACUGUUAUCUUCCACGAACGAGAUCGUGGGCAAGAGACGUGGUCCACGAUUGGAUCUGUUGCAGAUUUUCAGGUCUCCGGUUGAAUCGGGAUGAAGAAGAUCACACGACUGUUCCACCAGCAAUGGCGACGUUUCGGCUAAAAGACACAUUUUCAUUUUGACCCCUGCUUCUUUGGAAAUUCGGCAAUUGGAUCUCUAAGCAAUUAAAAAUUUAUUUUAAUUUUGCCCUUUUGGAUUAAUUUCAAUUAAAUCCCUAAAUUAUAACACUGUUUACAAAACAGUCCUUAAU
This 8032-nucleotide long non-coding RNA is filed under the name Populus trichocarpa (black cottonwood). Its description in RNAcentral is "long non-coding RNA (PTRI_LNC001020)". The record is from RNAcentral. Lineage: Eukaryota; Viridiplantae; Streptophyta; Magnoliopsida; Malpighiales; Salicaceae.